This 492-nucleotide ribosomal RNA is filed under the name uncultured bacterium. Its description in RNAcentral is "partial 16S ribosomal RNA". It matches the Rfam family "Bacterial small subunit ribosomal RNA", at positions 29 to 507 of the family's 1533-position model. The record is from RNAcentral.
AGUGAACGCUGGCGGUAGGCCUAACACAUGCAAGUCGAACGGCAGCACAGUAAGAGCUCGCUCUUACGGGUGGCGAGUGGCGGACGGGUGAGGAAUACAUCGGAAUCUACUUUUUCUUGGGUGAUAACGUAGGGAAACUUACGCUAAUACCGCAUACGACCUACGGGUGAAAUCAGGGGAUCUUCGGACCUUGCGCGACUGAAUGAGCCGAUGUCGGAUUAGCUAGUUGGCGUGGUAAAGGCCCACCAAGGCGACGAUCCGUAGCUGGUCUGAGAGGAUGAUCGGCCACACUGGAACUGAGACACGGUCCAGACUCCUACGGGAGGCAGCAGUGGGGAAUAUUGGGCAAUGGGCGCAAGCCUGAUCGAGCCAUGCCGCGUGAGUGAAGAAGGCCUUCGGGUUGUAAAGCCCUUUUGUUGGGAAAGAAAAGCAGCGGGUUAAAACCCCGCUGUUCUGACGGUACCCAAAGAAUAAGCACCGGCUAACUUCGUG